GGAGCACCUGCUGGACGUGGACGGCCCCGCCGACGGCGCCGGGGCGGCGCAUCCCAAGAUCCGGGUGCGCGGGCUGCGUCGGCUGGCGGACGCGACGGGCGACGAGAUCCUGCGGGGCGUCGACCUGGACGUGCCGCGCGGCGUGGUGAUGGGCGUCAUCGGGCCCAGCGGCAGCGGCAAGUCCACGCUGCUCCGCGCGCUCAACCGCCUCUGGGAGCCCGCCCCCGGCGCCGUCCUUCUCGACGGCGCCGACAUCCGCGGCAUCGACGUCCUAGCGCUCCGGCGCAGGGUCGGCAUGCUCUUCCAGCUCCCCGCCAUGUUCGACGGUACGUCGCGCGUGCGCCCGUUUUCCGAAGCUCAUCAUAAAAAUUUCCUAGAGCAGUUUGUUUUCCUAGAGUAGUUCAUCUCGUAGGGAAUCAACCUGUCUCGUUGAUUGAUGCCCGAUUUGAUUUGCCCGAAUAUGAUAAGCGCAUGUAGCUGUUGGCAAAUGCGGUUUGACAUUUGCACUGUGCAUAGUUGGCAGCGAGUAGACAGUUAGUGGCCAACUCUGAUAAGCUAUCCAGCUGACCUUUCUAGGUUGAACAGGUCAAGAGCUCGAGGCUAGAUCUGCCACUGGUACGGACAAAUCCACUCUUGUUCAUACCCAGGUCCAAAUAUAUAUUAUCCAAUCCUCAUCCUCCUUAUUCUCACCCAUAUCCAAUGGAUAAUUAAUUUUGUACGAGAUACUUUGUAUAUCCAAUGGAUAAAUUGUGCCCUCCCAUUUCUAAUGGAUAAAUAAUUUUCUACCUAUACCCUUUCCAUUUGAAAUGGAUCUAAAUUUGAGUUUGAGUAUGAAUUAUGGAUAUCCAGCAACAGAUCUCGGGCCCAGUGAUAAACAAGGUUUCCACUCGGGUAGGUGGGCAUGAUCCAAGUGAUGGUAAAUUGGUAAUUGUGGGCACUCUGACUCUGAACACGCCACGAUUAGUAUGUUUCUAACGCAAUGGUUCUCCGUCUCAACGUCGUGAGAUGCAUUUAUGACUGACCAGCAUCUUGAGCACAUCAUGGAUGAAGCAUGGUUGCACAGCUGACAAGGAUGGCAACUGCUAAGCUUAAUUAAAGAAAGCUCUAACCAUUGACAAAUUUGAGUGGGAUCCUGCUUCCCGGAUGCCAGCUAAAAGAUACUAAAAGAUAGUUGAAGAGGGUAUUCCUACCCUCCUUCCUACUUUAAAAACCUCCUGAGAAAGGUGGAGAAGCAUUUUGACCAGUUUAGCUAGGUUCAACCAGCUAAAAGAAUUCACCAACUAGCAGUUUGGACAGAGUAAAGCCAUAAUUUAGAGCUGCCAUAGAUCUGGGCAAGUGUAUUGCUUGGAUGCAUGUAAGGUAGGUUUGUCUGCUUCGAAUAUAUAAUGCCAUUUUUUAGUGUACUUGUAAUUUCUCUUGCAUAGUGGCAUUGCUUCCUAGUUUAUUCUGCGCAGUACCUGCACGACGUCAGCGUGUUUUUCCUCUGCUUCAUGAAUUAUGAUGCUUCAUCCUGAAUGAAAAGUCAAAUUGCAAACUGUUUCUUGAGUGAAUCAUCUGGGUUUAAUCUUGAGAAAUGAAGCAAACGGGCAAAUCACAGUAAGAUCACCCAACUUUAUCUUCAGUAACUCGUAGGAAGGCAUUAGGAAGAAGACACAGACACUAAGCUCAGCCCAGCCAUGAUAGAAAAUCCGAAACAAAACCUCCAACGAUUGCUCUGAUUUGUGUUCGUGCCUUGGAUAUCAGGAACCGUGGCGGACAACGUGCGCUACGGGCCGCAGCUGCGCGGCAAGAAGCUCACGGAAGCCGAAGUGAAGAAUCUGCUGAGCAUGGCCGAUCUGGACCCUGCUCUGUCCUCCAAGCCGGCCUCCGAGCUGUCCGUCGGCCAGGCGCAGCGCGUCGCCUUGGCCCGGACCCUCGCCAACGACCCCGAGGCAUGUCCGCAUGUGAGCAUGUGCACCCUCACAUGCUUCCUCUUCCUCGCUCCCAUUAUUCUCCAUGGCGGCCUCGCUGAUGAGACCGUGGCGACUUCCAUUGCUGCAGGUGCUGCUGCUGGACGAGCCGACGAGCGCGCUGGACCCCAUCUCCACGCAGAACAUCGAGGAGGCGAUCGUGCGGCUGAAGAAGGCGAGGGGGCUCACCACGGUGCUCGUCUCCCACAGCGUGAAGCAGAUCCAGCGCAUCGCCGACCUGGUGUGCCUCGUCGUCUCCGGCGAGAUCGUCGAGGUGCUCGCGCCGUCCGAGCUGUCCGGCGCCAAGCACCCCAUGGCCAGGCGCUUCUUGGAGCUCAGCAACUGAUGGCCCGGCCGUCGAGUCCAUUUGCUCCGAGUAAGAGGAAGGAGUACAUGUGAACUCGGAUUUGUAACUGUAAUCCUGAUCUGCAAUGUUUUCAAGUGUACACUCUCUGAAAGUAAACAUGUGUACAAGAAGUACCUUUCUUCGAUAGCUAAGAUAGCUAAGAGUAAGAGCAAAAGUAAGUGAAUUGACGGUCAUCCUAAUAGAAAGAGUCAACAGUUACUCGUCUUGCGACAUGUCAAGUAACAACUCCCACACCUAGAGAUGAAGGUUUGUUGCAAUUCAACAUAACAGAGACAAAUCCGGUUCCGGUUGUAGGUGUUUCACAACAUGUCUAAGAUCGAGCAACAUCAACCGUACAAAUCGCACAUCACCACAUGAACCACAAAGAGCAAUUUGAAGCAUUACACAACUUCAACAAGUUCAAUUAGAUUACAAGUUCAUGACAUACAUGCUUCAAAUCUGAAAUUUAAAUGGAUGAGCUCCAAAAUACAAGCCUUGGACUCAUGACAACAACAACAUGAGAUUAAAUAUUAUGAUUCAAACUUUCCCAACAUCUAACUCAUGAAAAGAGCACCACUACGCAGCGGAUAUGAUAGAAUAACACAAAAGAAACGAUGGUGUCAUUGCCCAAGAACACUACCGAAGCAACAAUGACCACUCUAGUCACUCAUCACUCACCCUUGGAUCAGCGGGGUAAAAGUGACCAAACACGGCCUCCGGUUCACUUGCAACUUUGGUGAGCGAUAGCAACACGAGUAAAAAAGGUACUUGCAAGUCUUACACAAAUAUAUAACAAGGAGCAUGCACAGGGAUAAACAAAAAGUAAGGCUUUAAGGUUAAGUAAAUUUUGCAAAAGUCUAGCUCAUCAUAUCCUUAAUUUUUGACCAUAAGCAUAUGAAAAACGCAAAUUUUAUUAAUCUUGCCCAAAACCCACUUCAAAUUUUAGUUAAAACAACUAUAUCAACAUGGUAACAUAGAGCAUAUUCAUGUGAACAAGUAACAUAAGCAUCCAAUAACUUUACGAUGAAUUCAUUGGACUUGAGCUUGCUCAUAACCAAGAGCGCAGCAAAACGAAUUGAUUUAUCCUUGCAAGGAUGUAUUCUUUACCCACACGACUUGAGGACCUUGCGGCUCGCAUACCCAAUCAAUGGUGCACAAGGGGUUACUCAUGCCAACCCUUUUCAAACUGCCUCGAAAGUUGAGUGUAACAUUCCUAACUUGUGUGGAGGACGACUUAGAUCCACCGGGGACACCCCUAGACUCCCUCUACAUAGUCCGAAGACCUCACAUCUAGGUCCAUGCCUCAAAGAACGAGUCAAGUGAGGUAUUAAGCUUAAUACUUCCCAUUAGGGGAUGUGUGGUAGCACAAAAAAGGUGCUCAAACCUACAUCAACAACAGACGGUCCUUAAUCGACUCAAGUGGUCUAUAACCAAGACUCCAUUCUCGUAGCCUUACACACCACUCAACUAUUGUAUCCAUUUAACCAUCAUGCUCAAUUACUUAACAAUAUUAAAGAUCAAAACGGUGUUGAUUAACCUAUAACCAUUCCCUAACCAAAGUUACCAUUCUAUGUCUAAAUAUGGUUAAACAAUUAACAAGAUUAAUUUAACAUUACCCAUACUAUUUGAAUGACAAGGAAAAUGGUAUAAAACAAGGAUGGCAAUAAUAUCAGACAUAAGAUCUAAUAAUGCAAUAAGAUAACCCACAUGCAUCCCAUAGCUAUACAUAGUAACAAUUUAACUUUGAAAAGUAGGAUAAGUAUGCAUAGCUACUUGCCUUGAUUUUCCUCGGGCUCAACAACCACUUCUACGUCGGCCUCAGCUUCGGGCUCAACCAACUCAUUCUCUGGCAAGUCCUCUCUAAAAUGAAUGAAAUGCAUGCAUACAUUAGAGAUGAUGCCAUGAGUGCAAAUGCUCGUGAAAUGCAUGGAGAAAUAAUAGAAACAACAAAGAAUGAAUUAUCAAUAGAACAAUCUAACUAAAAACAGUAACAAUCAUAUAUGAGAGAUUAUUUUACAUGAUAAGUCAAAAGCAACCAUGAAAUUGCAAGAUUAAAAUCAUUUGUUGAGCAAAAAUUAUGAAAUAAAUUACACUGACAUAAUACAACAAUAAAAAAUUAUGAGAAUUAGAUUCACAUAAAAAUUAAUUUUCAAUACGGAGAUAUAUAAUAAACAAGACAAACUACCAUUAAGCACAUUAAAUCAUAAAAGGAAUGGAAAUCAUACAGAAAAAUAUGAAUAUCAUUUUUCCUAGGAUCUACACAGAAAACAUGGCUUACCAAAAGUGGUUUCAACAUUUUAUCAUUUUUAUGCUAAUUACCAUGCUAAUAAAAAUAUUUUGAAACAGCAUGAAAACUAUAUAUUCCAGUUAUACAAGUUGUAGAUUUGGAGCAUAAAUGAUAAGUAGAAGCUAAAAGAAUUGGUUUCAAAAAUUUUGGAGCAUCACAUGAUUUAUAAGGCAUUUAAUAUGUCUAGAACAAAAUAAAUUAUAGCACCAUAUAUACAACAGGAAAAUGCACAUAAUGAUUUUUGAAUAAAACUAUAUCAUAACAAGAACACAACAAAAUAAGUUUCACAUUUUUAGCCUUUUUUAACAUAUUUCUAUGUGUUUCCAAAGUUUGCGGCCAUUUAAGUCUAGGAAACCAAGGAAAAUCGAGGUUGUUUGCAUCUAGGCCCCUAAAUCUAUUGUACUCUUGCACUUGGGUCCCUGAAUCUUCCCCGUACCCCUCUUCUCUCUCUUCUCUCAGCCACAACACACCAACGCACAUAGGCACGAGGCGGCGGCGCACGGCCGAUCGUGGCCUUGGUCGACGACGGGGGACGGCACGAUGCCACAUGGAGCAGCAUGGCGCGGCGGAGGAUGGCAGGCUGCGCCCCAAGGCUGCAGAGCUCACCAGGCAGCGGCGCAGCGACAAAGAGGAGGCAGCUGCGUCAGAGUUUCAUAGGUGGCGGACGAGCUCGUCGGUGAGCACCCUGCACAAGCGAGGAGGGCAGUCGGUGAGCAACAGAAUGGGUUCGCGGCGUUGUGGGGGAGCUGUAGUUGCGAGGAAUUGGCAUGAGGCUUACCGACGACAACGGAAUCUAUCGGCGAUGGUGGCUGCGUGGGAGAAGGUGGCGGCGGCAAUGGUGGAGGAGGGGAUUAGGGUUCGGAGGAGGUCGGCUGGGUGCUUAAAAAGGCGAGGAACGGCGAGGGUAGGGGAGGCAUUUCGCGUGGGUGAAGCCAUGGUGGCCAGUCCGGCGACAGUCAGCCUGCGAGCACCGCUGGCGCUGCACAACCAGCGAACGAGGAGGCGCGGGAGAGGAGGAAGGAGCCGCUGAUGAGUGGGUCCAGCGAAUUCAAACUAUUCAACCUUCCCCACUUCAAACAACCUAGCUACCGGCGCUCAAAAAUCCUCAAAAAUACUCAUUUGAAAGAUAAAAUCACAAAUAAGACAACGCCACAAGAAUCACCUUCAUAGCUGCUCAGAUUUUCACACAAUUGACAAAGGAAAACAGCUAAAACUGAAACUUAAGUGAAUUUUUAACAAAAGCAAACAUCACUGAAAAAUUAAAAAUUAAGUAAAAAUACUUUAAAUUCAUCACAUUGCACCUAGUAUUUAAAUAAAAUAAUAGGGAGCACAUUUGUACAACAGAAAUUUGAGUUGCUUCACAAAGUUAGAUUUAAACAAUAAACAACAAUUAUAUGAACUUAACAAAUGCAUGGCAUGAUGCUCAAUUAUGCCCAAAUGAUACUCUGAUUACAUGCUAUUGAUGUUUUGGACAUUUGGGUCGUGACAAUGCAAGACGAACAUAUUCUCUAGGAUUUGCUUCAUCUUUUGAAUCUCCAAAACUCUAGUGUUUAUAUCUCCCUUCAAGGCGCCAAGCUCUCUAGUGAUGGCUGCUGUCUUAUUGAUUAGUAGCUGGGCCGCACCCAGGAAAUCAACAAUAAAAGGCUUGGCCAUUUGAGCAGUUGGGCCGCACGCUGCGGGCUACUGAUUUGUAGCACAUCAAGCAUGCGACUUGACGUCUCUUUAUACUAGUAUAUGUAAUCUAUAGCUGGGAUUGGAGAGCAUCUCCAGCGUAUUGCUUGCAUUCCAUUACCAAAAUACUUUCUUUCUCCCUUUCCAAUAGUUACUUUUGUAUUUUUAGUGAUCACCGUUGUAGCAUACUACCAAAAAUCAUCUCCGAUACCUUGAGGAUUUAUUUGUUUUUCUUUUUUCCCCACUUCUUCUUCAUCUCCCGCCUCCCCUUCUUUCUUCACUGCGCAACCUACCCCCCUUGCCACCUCGCGACGGUGGCAGCUGCUCAAAUUCGCCGCCUCUCUCAGCCUCCCCCGCGACAGCGGCGCCCUCUCCCGAUGCAGCGGCCGCUCAGAUCCGCCACCCCUCCCGACUUCACCUGCGAUAGCCACCGGUUUGCCCCCUCACCCGUGGUGCUCCACACACGCCCUCCCACAGCUCGCCUGCGACGACCCCCGAGCUCCGCACCGCCCGCACCUAGGGAUGCGGCUGCCUUCUCACCUCUGUGUUCUCCUCCCCGUGGCGAGCUUGGUGCGCUAGGAGGAAGGACGCCGCAUGGCUUGUUCACGAGCUCUACAACCAACCAUGGGACGCCCACGGUGGAGGUAGGCAGCUCGUGAAUACCCUCCCUCUCCGUUUCUCAUCUAGGUAGGCUCGGGGUGUGCGGCGGUGUUCUUUGGCAGCGGCCUCCGUGGCUGAGUGACGGCGCUAGGCGGUGGACAUGUCUGCGCACACGAAAAUAACUGUAGAUAGGGGGAGAGUGCUGGAGAAGGCUGCUUUUUCCCCUACAUCAAGGGGGGGGGGGGGAGUUGAGUUUUUGGCAAUUGCUGAAAUUUUUUAGUAUUGGGGAUCUGGUUGGUAGUCUGCUGGAGUUCUCUUCCAUCUUCAAAAUCUCCUAAAAGAUAGUUUUUUAGUAUUAGGGAUGAAUAUGAGCAAUCUGCUGGAGAUGCUAUGGGAAAAUACCCAGCGUGCAUGUGCAUCACGAUUUUGUCCACACAGAGAAUUAACAAGGGCUAAGCCAGUCAUCGCCAAUGCAUCAAGAGCUGACAAAGUCUACUGCAGAAGUUGGUCUUUUACUGAACUUUUGGAGCCCAAAUAUCAGCGAGGCCCUAUAAAAGGGGGCAAGAUGGCCACACCUAUAGGACGUUCCGAAGCAGAUAUCCUGCACAAUCCGUUUGCUUUUCCUAUCACUCUCCUCGCGGGUCUCCAAUGGACUCAGCUUCACGUCAGCAACAAUCCCAGACGAACCAUGGCGUUGAGCUUGUCAUCGCACCAACGUUUCGCUUGUCCGACGAUGAGGAAGACGAAGAAGCCAGGGAGCUCCUGCUGGACGUGGGCGGGCUACUCGCCGGCGGCGGAGCUGCUGGGGCGGCGGCGCCGGCAGCGGCUGGUCCCCCCAAGAUACGGGUGCGCGAGCUGAGGCGGCAGGCGGCGGGCGGCCAGGAGAUCCUGCGCGGCGUCGACCUGGACGUGCCGCGCGGCGUGGUGAUGGGCGUCAUCGGGCCCAGCGGCAGCGGCAAGUCCACGCUGCUCCGCGCGCUCAACCGCCUCUGGGAGCCCGC
Molecule: long non-coding RNA, 7854 nt
Filed under: Setaria italica (foxtail millet)
Lineage: Eukaryota; Viridiplantae; Streptophyta; Magnoliopsida; Poales; Poaceae
Description: long non-coding RNA (SITA_LNC003293)
Source: RNAcentral